Molecule: ribosomal RNA, 229 nt
Filed under: uncultured bacterium
Lineage: Bacteria
Description: partial 16S ribosomal RNA
Rfam family: Bacterial small subunit ribosomal RNA
Source: RNAcentral
UACGUAGGCGGAAAAUUAAGUCAGUAGUGAAAUCCUGCAGCUUAACUGUAGAACUGUUAUUGAUACUGGUUUUCUUGAAUACAGUUGAGGUAGGCGGAAUGUGUAAUGUAGCGGUGAAAUGCUUAGAUAUUACACAGAACACCGAUUGCGAAGGCAGCUUACUAAGCUAUGAUUGACGCUGAGGUACGAAAGCGUGGGGAGCGAACAGGAUUAGAUACCCUGGUAGUCC